GGACAUACAAGUAGCCAGAGGACCGGAGAGACCAAUACUCUUCAAUUUGAACCGUUGUCAUUGACUUUUAAAUGAUACAUUAGAAUUAUAUAUGUGUAUGUAUAUAUAUAGACACUUUCUCCUGAUCUAGUACUUCACAAUAUUGUCUAUGCAAAUCAAUGUCAAAUGACACAAAUACUAUUUUGAGUACAAACAUUAGAACUUUCUUUUCGCUGAAUAAUUUGUCAAAUUUGGCAGACAUUAAAUAUUAGUAAAUAAUUUCUACAUGGUAUGAAAAGUCAUUGAAAGAAAAAAAGAUAAUACAGAACUUUUUCCAUAGGAAUGCGCAGGACUGGUAAGUAAACUGCAGCCCAGUUCAGUCAAAAAGCUGCAAACUGGAGAUAGCUUAUGCAAAAUAAGGAAAAAACUGUUCAAGGGGGAAAGAAAUGAAAAGAAAGACAGGAUUAAAAAUUCUAAUGGAUUAGAAAUUCAGCUCUUCCCUCAUAGUACAUGAAAAGUUUAACAUAAAAACUAAAGCCUCUAUUAGAAGCAAGAUAAUGGUGCAUAUCAAUCACCGAGACUCUUUUAACACCCUUCCUUGCAUGCUAGGCCCAGUUGAUUAGAAAUGAUCCAAAGCCCAUCAAUCAGCAUUAUCACAAACUAUCAAGUCUUAGAUAUUGCCAUCAUAUGGCCAUCAUAGAUGGUUAGAGUGAAGUAUUCAAAUCUAGCCUUUCAUCCAAUUAUACAUGGUAAAGCAAAACAUUUUAUACAGAAGACGGCAUAAGAUGGCUCGUGUCAUCUGAUACAAAAAACAACAAAUAAGAUUGUGACCUUUACAUACAAACUUUUUCAUGUAGUUCUCUAAUCCUAAACCCCUAAUGAACGGAUAUGUACUUUUGCAAAAACACAGUACUAGCCAGUUCAUAACAUCCUGAUUUACUAGAGGAAUUAAUAACUGAAAGACAGUUUUCUCAAAGAGUUAGUUUCGUAUGGAUCAGACAUACACUUACAGAAUGUUGCUUGUACAUGGUCCAAAGCACUUCAAUUCCAACUUGCAGUCGAUUGUAACCAAUAUAUGAUCACACAUUUAUUUGCACUUCAACUACCACAGGACAUGCACCCUUCUUUAUUCUUCAUCGAGCAUAGCACUUGUGCCAAAUCGCUAUUGACAUCACUGUUUGUCCUAUUGACAUUUUCAUGGUUGAGAACAGAUGUAUCAACUGUGAACUUGAUUGCAUCAGCUGCAGCACGAGUUCUGAGAUAGUACAUUCCUGUUUUCAGGCCCUUAGACCAAGCAUAGAAAUGCAAUGAAGUUAGUUUCCCAAGAUCAGGUUGCUCCAUGUGAAUAUUCAGACUUUGACUCUGGUCUAUGUAGCAACCCCGGUUAACAGCCAUAUCAACCAGUGUCUUUUGCUUGAUUUCCCACACUGUCCUGACAUUAUGUUGUCCUACUCCAUCAGCUUGAUAAUAAGAAACGAUAAAUAAGAAACAAAAACAUACAAGGAAAAUGCAUACUUGUAGAUAGCUUUCAGCUGCUCAGGAAUUUCAGGAAUUUUUGCAAUAGAACCAUUCUCAUUAAUUAUCUUGUUUUUAAGAGAAUGUGACCAAAGACCAAUCUCUGUUAAGUCAUGGAGUAGGUGUUUGUUCACCACAACAAAUUCACCACUGAAAAUGAGGGAAAUUAGAUGGCAGCAGAUACACUUCAAAGGCGCUGAGUUAAUAUAUAAAAGCAAACCUUAAAACUCUGCGGCUAUAGAUAUUGGAAGUAUAAGGCUCAAAACACUCAUUGUUGCCAAGAAUCUGGCUUGUUGAAGCAGUUGGCAUUGGUGCUACAAGAAGGGAAUUCCUUACGCCAUUCUUUAAGAUCAUUUCCCUAAGAGCAUCCCAAUCCCAUCUUUCUGAUGGCAUCACACCCCACAUGUCCAUUUGGAGAAUUCCCUUGCUCAGAGGGCUUCCACGAUACGUCUCAUAUGGACCAUCUUUCGCUGCCAACUCAGAAGAAGAUUUCAAUGCGUAGUAGUAUAUAGUUUCAAAUAUAUCUCUGUUUAGCUGUUGGGCCUCUGGUGAAUCAAAUGGCAUGCCAAGCAGGAUAAAAGUAUCGGCAAGACCCUGAACUCCAAUACCAAUUGGCCUGUGUCUUAAAUUCGAUCUUCUUGCAGUUUCAAUGGGAUAGUAACUAAUAUCAAUUAUCUUGUUAAGAUUUGCAGUAAUUGUAGCAGUAACCUAUCAUAUCAAUAAAAUUCACAUAAGUCCAAGUUUAUCAGGUAUAACAAUUAAAAUUUUUGAAGUUAGAUAGCAGAUACAAUUCUACCUUCAAUGGAUGUCUAGCUAAGUAUAUAGGUAAUACAACGUGUUUUCAACUAUAACUUUAGAUUAAAAUAAUCUAUCAGUGCACCAAAUAUACUUGCUUGCCACUCCAAGCAAAAUCUAAACUUCAUUAUAGAGAUUUUCAACAUUCCAACUGUGGCAAACCUCUGCUAGUUUUGCAAAAUCAAAAUAUCUGCUCUUUGAAUCUGUACUGCCAACCAGCUUGGAUGAGUGAGACUCAAUUGGCACCCCCUACAACAACCAAGCAAUGACUGAUGAACAGUCAUAUCAAAGGUAGAUUAAAGUAAGCUAUGCAUUGAUUAAGAUUCCAAAAUGUCACCCUUUCCCUGACAAAUCGUGGUAGAGCAAUGGAUGCCAGAUUGCAAACGGCAGUUUCUGUGGGACUUGUGAACUCAAUAAUCUCAGUGCACAAGUUUGAGGACCUUAUAGUACCCAGAUUCUUCUGGUUGCUCUUCCUAUUGCAAGAAUCCUUAUAAAGCAUGUAAGGAGUUCCAGUUUCAAUCUGGGAAUUUAAAAUCUCAAACCAAAGUUUCCUAGCUGAUAUAACCUUCUUUGCCCUACCCUCAUUUUCAUAAUUAAUGUACAAAUUUUCAAAUUUUUCUCCCCAACAAUCAGCCAAACCGGGAGCUUCAUUGGGGCAAAACAAAGACCAGCUGCCAUCACCUCGGACUCUUUCCAUAAAGAGAUCAGGAAUCCAGAGAGCAUAGAAUAAAUCUCUUGCUCGAUGUUCUUCCUUUCCAUGAUUUUUCCUAAGAUCUAGAAACUCAAAGAUAUCUGCAUGCCAUGGCUCCAAAUAUAUGGCAAAAGCACCUUUCCUCUUACCUCCACCUUGAUCAGCGUAGCGCGCAGUGUCAUUAAACACUCUAAGCAUAGGAAUAAUGCCAUUGGAACUCCCAUUUAUCCCACGAAUGUAACUGCCUGCAGCACGAAUAUUAUGCACAGAAAGACCAAUUCCUCCAGCUAGCUUGCUAAUAACAGCACACUCCUUCAAAGUA
Molecule: unclassified non-coding RNA, 3302 nt
Filed under: Hevea brasiliensis (rubber tree)
Lineage: Eukaryota; Viridiplantae; Streptophyta; Magnoliopsida; Malpighiales; Euphorbiaceae
Source: RNAcentral